GGUAGCGUGGCCGAGUUGGUCUAAGGCGUUGGAUUUAAGAUACUUCUUGAUUCCCAAUGGGCGUGAGUCCGCGCGAGUUCGAACCUCGCCGCUACCA
Molecule: non-coding RNA, 97 nt
Organism: Galerina marginata CBS 339.88
Lineage: Eukaryota; Fungi; Basidiomycota; Agaricomycetes; Agaricales; Galerinaceae
Source: Rfam